Peromyscus maniculatus bairdii (prairie deer mouse) is the source of this 1979-nucleotide non-coding RNA. Lineage: Eukaryota; Metazoa; Chordata; Mammalia; Rodentia; Cricetidae. The record is from RefSeq and is a predicted model, not a curated record.
AGCAAACAAGGACUGAAGAGGCUGCUGGGAGCUCACCAGUGUCCUGGCCAGUGAGGCAACAGGUGCACCUGGUGCUGUAGUGACCUCCCAGGGGACAUUUGCCCUGCCAUUGCUGUGUCUCCAAGGUUACAGGCUGCUUUUCCUUCCCACAGGGCAGUGCGGCAGUGCUCUGGCUCCAACACAAGGCCGUGGAGGACAGAGGGAGAAGAGAGGAGAGUUGGAUAGAACAGGCCAUAGAGAGAAUCCCUCUGCAGGGUUGCAUGGUGACCACAAUCUCACAGCACUCAGGGAUCUCCCAGAAAUGCCAUCCAUCAUGUUGGGAGGCACACCCAUAGUAAGGUGUUUUCGGACCCCUGGGCUCUCUGGGUAGCAACAGCUCUGCCUGCCAUCCUGGACCACACCACCUUCUUCAGUCUUCUUCCCCUUCCCACACACUGGGACUCAGCCAUGGAGGUGACUCAGCCUUGACUGAUCAUGGAGGAACCACAAGAUGGAAGAACUAUGGCUCCUUCUGUAAGGAGGGGAGGUCAAGGACAGCUACACAGAGAGGGAAGAUCGGCCACAGGAAGACAGCAGGGAAGAAUGGCUACCUGCCAGCCAAGGGAGGAGGCCUGGAGCAGAUCUUGACCUCAGAGCUCUCAGGAGGAUUCUAUCUACAUUCUGAUCUCUGACUCCUGGCCUUCAAGCCCGAAGGAAAAUGUAUUCUGUUAUAAGUGGCACAGCUUAUCGUACAGCAUAACAGCCCUAGAAAGCUAGUGGAGGAGCAUCAGGGCUCAGCAGACCCAGUGUCCCACUUUGUCAUAGAGUUGUCUUAAGAAUGAAAUGGUCUAAGAGAAAGAACAAACUUCAGAAAUAAGGCUGUGAUGAAGAGGAAAGAGACUGGUGCUUGUUUCCGAAGAACUCGCUGUAUAAGAGCCACCGGAAAAGGAAGGCUCCAAGACUCUAAAGACAGGCAGACGAGCCCGAGUCUGCACAGAAUGCAUGCAGCAGAGACUUACGGAUGGAAGUGUAUCUUGAGCAGCAGCAAAACAGCAGGGUCCCCAUAGCUCAAGAAGGAAGAAGGGACUUACAUGCUAAGCCGGACAGAGGUGGACUGUGACCAAUUGGAAUGUGCCACGCCUUUCCUGGGUCUGUAUGUAGCAUGAAAAUACUUGGCUCUGUCAAUGACUGUGUUUAUCCCACAGAGUUUGGAAUAUGUGCCAGCAUCACCUGAUGCCCCAAAUGGUAGUCAUGGCUGGCAAGAUGAGUUAGUGGGUGAAGGAACUUGCACCACACCUGACAGGCUGAGCUCAAUCUCCAGGACUCACAUGGUAGAAAGAAAGAAGCGACUCCCUAAAAUUGACCUCUCAACUCCACAUGGGUGCCAUGCCAUGCAUGUGCAUGCAUACACACUCAUCACCACAUAAAUAAAUUAGAAAUGUAAUUUUGAAAUGGCAACCAAAACCAAGAUGUGUAUGGUUGGCUCAAGCUAGGUGCAUACUGUGCUCACAGAGUGCUCUUUGAUGCCAUACUCAAAGUUCCUGCAUUUAAAAUGGCUUCUCUUCAGGUGUGCCCGAAUCCCUUUCCACAGCUUGUUCCUUCUCUCCACAGCAUUGAUCGUCUUCUAAUGGUCUCUGCUGUUGGUUAUUUGUCUCUUUCUACUAGGAGGGAAGAAGCUCAGUGAGGUCAAGGCUUGGGGUUUUUAAUAGCUGUCUCCUCAGCACUUACCGGCCCAGGAGGGUCCUCACUGGCUGGUCCGUGCUGAGUCCACAUUUCAUUUCUUCUUUCUUCAUUCUUCUCACUUCUUCAGGCCACACUUACCGAUCCUCUGGAACCUAGGCCUGCAUAUAAACAUACAGAGAGAUAGGGGUGUGGCAUGAUGUAUAACGUGUACUCUGAGGGCUAGUAGUUAAGAGUGGGAUCAAAGAACCUGUAUUUGCCAAUGGCCAGCUAUCAUUUGGUAAACUGCAGCCAAUGAGACCAAUGGAGGUGAAGUUUUU